RNAcentral lists this ribosomal RNA (505 nucleotides) under uncultured bacterium. RNAcentral's name for it is "partial 16S ribosomal RNA". It matches the Rfam family "Bacterial small subunit ribosomal RNA", at positions 30 to 523 of the family's 1533-position model. The record is from RNAcentral.
AUUGAACGCUGGCGGCAGGCCUAACACAUGCAAGUCGAACGGUAGCACAGAGAGCUUGCUCUCGGGUGACGAGUGGCGGACGGGUGAGUAAUGUCUGGGAAACUGCCCGAUGGAGGGGGGAUAACUACUGGAAACGGUAGCUAAUACCGCAUAACGUCGCAAGACCAAAGUGGGGGACCUUCGGGCCUCACACCAUCGGAUGUGCCCAGAUGGGAUUAGCUAGUAGGUGGGGUAAUGGCUCACCUAGGCGACGAACCCUAGCUGGUCUGAGAGUGUGACCAGCCGCAGUGGAACUGAGACACGAUCCAGAGUCCUACGGGAGGCAGCAGUGGGGAAUAUUGCACAAUGGGCGCAAGCCUGAUGCAGCCAUGCCGCGUGUAUGAAGAAGGCCUUCGGGUUGUAAAGUACUUUCAGCGGGGAGGAAGGCGGUGAAGUUAAUAACUUCACCGAUUGACGUUACCCGCAGAAGAAGCACCGGCUAACUCCGUGCCAGCAGCCGCCGUAA